GACGAACGCUGGCGGCGUGCUUAACACAUGCAAGUCGAACGGUAAGGCUCCAGCUUGCUGGGGUACACGAGUGGCGAACGGGUGAGUAACACGUGGGUGGCCUGCCCUGCACUUCGGGAUAAGCCUGGGAAACUGGGUCUAAUACCGGAUAGGACCGCACCGUGAGGGUGUGGUGGAAAGUUUUUUCGGUGUGGGAUGGGCCCGCGGCCUAUCAGCUUGUUGGUGGGGUAAUGGCCUACCAAGGCGGCGACGGGUAGCCGGCCUGAGAGGGUGGACGGCCACAUUGGGACUGAGACACGGCCCAGACUCCUACGGGAGGCAGCAGUGGGGAAUAUUGCACAAUGGGCGGAAGCCUGAUGCAGCGACGCCGCGUGGGGGAUGACGGCCUUCGGGUUGUAAACUCCUUUCACCAUCGACGAAGGGUUUCUGACGGUAGAUGGAGAAGAAGCACCGGCUAACUACGUGCCAGCAGCCGCGGUAAUACGUAAGGUGCGAGCGUUGUCCGGAAUUACUGGGCGUAAAGAGCUCCUAGGUGGUUUGUCGCGUCGUCUGUGAAUUCCGGGGCUUAACUCCGGGCGUGCAGGCGAUACGGGCAUAACUUGAGUACUGUAGGGGAGACUGGAAUUCCUGGUGUAGCGGUGAAAUGCGCAGAUAUCAGGAGGAACACCGGUGGCGAAGGCGGGUCUCUGGGCAGUAACUGACGCUGAGGAGCGAAAGCAUGGGGAGCGAACAGGAUUAGAUACCCUGGUAGUCCAUGCCGUAAACGGUGGGCGCUAGGUGUGGGUUUCCUUCCACGGGAUCCGUGCCGUAGCUAACGCAUUAAGCGCCCCGCCUGGGGAGUACGGCCGCAAGGCUAAAACUCAAAGGAAUUGACGGGGGCCCGCACAAGCGGCGGAGCAUGUGGAUUAAUUCGAUGCAACGCGAAGAACCUUACCUGGGCUUGACAUAUACAGGAUCGCGCCAGAGAUGGUGUUUCCCUUGUGGCUUGUAUACAGGUGGUGCAUGGUUGUCGUCAGCUCGUGUCGUGAGAUGUUGGGUUAAGUCCCGCAACGAGCGCAACCCUUGUCUUAUGUUGCCAGCACGUUGUGGUGGGGACUCGUAAGAAACUGCCGGGGUUAACUCGGAGGAAGGUGGGGAUGACGUCAAAUCAUCAUGCCCCUUAUGUCCAGGGCUUCACACAUGCUACAAUGGUCGGUACAGUGGGUUGCCAGUCCGUGAGGGCGAGCUAAUCCCGCAAAGCCGGUCUCAGUUCGGAUCGGGGUCUGCAACUCGACCCCGUGAAGUCGGAGUCGCUAGUAAUCGCAGAUCAGCAACGCUGCGGUGAAUACGUUCCCGGGCCU
Molecule: ribosomal RNA, 1340 nt
Filed under: uncultured bacterium
Lineage: Bacteria
Description: partial 16S ribosomal RNA
Rfam family: Bacterial small subunit ribosomal RNA
Source: RNAcentral